Molecule: ribosomal RNA, 253 nt
Filed under: uncultured Acidobacteriota bacterium
Lineage: Bacteria; Pseudomonadati; Acidobacteriota
Description: uncultured Acidobacteria bacterium partial 16S ribosomal RNA
Rfam family: Bacterial small subunit ribosomal RNA
Source: RNAcentral
UACGAGGGGGGCAAGCGUUGUUCGGAAUUAUUGGGCGUAAAGGGAGUGUAGGCGGUUUGGUAAGUCUCGUGUGAAAUCUUCAGGCUCAACCUGAAGUCUGCACGAGAAACUGCCGGGCUUGAGUAUGGGAGAGGUGAGUGGAAUUCCUGGUGUAGCGGUGAAAUGCGUAGAUAUCAGGAGGAACACCUGUGGCGAAAGCGGCUCACUGGACCAUAACUGACGCUGAGACUCGAAAGCUAGGGGAGCAAACAGG